Molecule: transfer RNA, 71 nt
Filed under: Cavia porcellus (domestic guinea pig)
Lineage: Eukaryota; Metazoa; Chordata; Mammalia; Rodentia; Caviidae
Rfam family: tRNA
About the family: Transfer RNA (tRNA) molecules are approximately 80 nucleotides in length.
Source: Rfam by way of RNAcentral
GAGGAUUUAGCUCAGGGCACAGUGCCUGCCUGGCAAGCAUGAGGUCCUGAGUUCGAUUCUCGGUAACCCCU